UACGUAGGUGGCAAGCGUUGUCCGGAUUUACUGGGCGUAAAGAGCGCGCAGGCGGUCGUUUUAAGUCGAAUGUGAAAGCCCCCGGCUCAACUGGGGAGGGUCAUUCGAUACUGAUCGACUUGAAGGCAGGAGAGGGAAGUGGAAUUCCGGGUGUAGUGGUGAAAUGCGUAGGAUAUCCGGAGGAACACCAGUGGCGAAGGCGGAACUUCCUGGCCGUGGUUCUUGAC
RNAcentral lists this ribosomal RNA (227 nucleotides) under uncultured bacterium. RNAcentral's name for it is "partial 16S ribosomal RNA". It matches the Rfam family "Bacterial small subunit ribosomal RNA", at positions 524 to 744 of the family's 1533-position model. The record is from RNAcentral.